RNAcentral lists this ribosomal RNA (392 nucleotides) under Anatolichthys chantrei. RNAcentral describes it as "partial 16S ribosomal RNA". It matches the Rfam family "Bacterial large subunit ribosomal RNA", at positions 2031 to 2573 of the family's 2925-position model. The record is from RNAcentral. Lineage: Eukaryota; Metazoa; Chordata; Actinopteri; Cyprinodontiformes; Aphaniidae.
AGUCAAUGAAAUUGAUCUCCCCGUGCAGAAGCGGGGAUAUAAACAUAAGACGAGAAGACCCUAUGGAGCUUUAGACACAAGAAUAGAUCAUGUUAAACCUCUAAUGCAAAAAGAAGGAAACCGAUUGAACCCUACUCCAAUGUCUUUGGUUGGGGCGACCACGGGGAAACAAAAAACCCCCGAGUGGAAUGAGAGAACACUACUCUUAAAACCAAGAGCCACAGCUCUAAGAAUCAGAACAUCUGACCUUAAGGAUCCGGCAUGACCGAUCAACGAACUGAGUUACCCUAGGGAUAACAGCGCAAUCCCCUUUUAGAGCCCAUAUCGACAAGGGGUUUACGACCUCGAUGUUGGAUCAGGACAUCCUAAUGGUGCAGCCGCUAUUAAGGGUU